RNAcentral lists this ribosomal RNA (223 nucleotides) under Chaetoceros curvisetus. Its description in RNAcentral is "partial Bacterial large subunit ribosomal RNA". It matches the Rfam family "Bacterial large subunit ribosomal RNA", at positions 496 to 724 of the family's 2925-position model. Lineage: Eukaryota; Bacillariophyta; Thalassiosirophyceae; Chaetocerotales; Chaetocerotaceae. The record is from RNAcentral.
CAGUACCGUGAGGGAAAGGUGAAAAGCACCCCGACAAGGGGAGUGAAAUAGAACCUGAAACCGGAUGCCUACAAACAGUCGGAGCCCGCAAGGGUGACGGCGUACCUUUUGUAUAAUGGGUCAACGACUUAGUGUAACUAGCAAGCUUAAGCCGGUAGGUGUAGGCGCAGCGAAAGCGAGUCUGAACAGGGCGUUCAGUUCGUCGGAUUAGACCCGAAACCGG